Molecule: ribosomal RNA, 292 nt
Filed under: uncultured Planctomycetota bacterium
Lineage: Bacteria; Pseudomonadati; Planctomycetota
Description: uncultured planctomycete partial 16S ribosomal RNA
Source: RNAcentral
GGACUACCGGGGUAUCUAAUCCCGUUUGCUCCCCUGGCUUUCGCGCCUCAGCGUCAGAAGAGGUCCAGCGCGCCGCUUUCGCCACCGGUGUUCCUUCCGAUAUCUACGCAUUUCACCGCUCCACCGGAAGUUCCGCACGCCCCUACCUCCCUCGAGACUCGCAGUAUCAAAGGCACUUCCACGGUUGAGCCGUGGGCUUUCACCCCUGACUGGCGAGCCCGCCUACGCGCCCUUUAAGCCCAGUGAUUCCGAAUAACGUUCGCACGGUUCGUCUUACCGCGGCUGCUGGCAC